CCUUCGAUAGCUCAGUUGGCUGAGCGGGGGACUGUAGAUCCCUAGGUCACUGGUUCAAAUCCGGUUCCAAGGA
RNAcentral lists this transfer RNA (73 nucleotides) under Dendronephthya gigantea. Its description in RNAcentral is "tRNA-Tyr". It matches the Rfam family "tRNA". From Rfam's summary of the family: Transfer RNA (tRNA) molecules are approximately 80 nucleotides in length. Their secondary structure includes four short double-helical elements and three loops (D, anti-codon, and T loops). Further hydrogen bonds mediate the characteristic L-shaped molecular structure. tRNAs have two regions of fundamental functional importance: the anti-codon, which is responsible for specific mRNA codon recognition, and the 3' end, to which the tRNAs corresponding amino acid is attached (by aminoacyl-tRNA synthetases). tRNAs cope with the degeneracy of the genetic code in two manners: having more than one tRNA (with a specific anti-codon) for a particular amino acid; and 'wobble' base-pairing, i.e. permitting non-standard base-pairing at the 3rd anti-codon position. Lineage: Eukaryota; Metazoa; Cnidaria; Anthozoa; Malacalcyonacea; Nephtheidae. The record is from RNAcentral.